Molecule: ribosomal RNA, 495 nt
Filed under: uncultured Bacteroidota bacterium
Lineage: Bacteria; Pseudomonadati; Bacteroidota
Description: bacterial SSU rRNA
Rfam family: Bacterial small subunit ribosomal RNA
Source: RNAcentral
GAUGAGCAUGCGUCCCAUUAGCUAGUUGGUAAGGUAACGGCUUACCAAGGCAACGAUGGGUAGGGGUCCUGAGAGGGAGAUCCCCCACACUGGUACUGAGACACGGACCAGACUCCUACGGGAGGCAGCAGUGAGGAAUAUUGGUCAAUGGGCGCAAGCCUGAACCAGCCAUGCCGCGUGCAGGAUGAAGCAUCUAUGGUGUGUAAACUGCUUUUGUACGAGAAGAAACACUCCUUCGUGAAGGAGCUUGACGGUAUCGUAAGAAUAAGGACCGGCUAACUCCGUGCCAGCAGCCGCGGUAAUACGGAGGGUCCAAGCGUUAUCCGGAAUCAUUGGGUUUAAAGGGUCCGUAGGCGGUUUUGUAAGUCAGUGGUGAAAGCCCAUCGCUCAACGGUGGAACGGCCAUUGAUACUGCAAGACUUGAAUUAUUAGGAAGUAACUAGAAUAUGUAGUGUAGCGGUGAAAUGCUUAGAUAUUACAUGGAAUACCAAUUGC